Molecule: transfer RNA, 72 nt
Filed under: Ipomoea nil (Japanese morning glory)
Lineage: Eukaryota; Viridiplantae; Streptophyta; Magnoliopsida; Solanales; Convolvulaceae
Rfam family: tRNA
About the family: Transfer RNA (tRNA) molecules are approximately 80 nucleotides in length. Their secondary structure includes four short double-helical elements and three loops (D, anti-codon, and T loops).
Source: Rfam by way of RNAcentral
GUCGUUGUAGUAUAGUGGUGAGUAUCCCCGCUUGUCGCGCGGAAGACCUGGGUUCGAUUCCUGGCAAUGGCG